This 231-nucleotide unclassified non-coding RNA is filed under the name plant metagenome. RNAcentral describes it as "partial contains small subunit ribosomal RNA, internal transcribed spacer 1, and 5.8S ribosomal RNA". The stretch from base 183 to 231 matches the Rfam family "5.8S ribosomal RNA", at positions 1 to 49 of the family's 154-position model. The record is from RNAcentral.
UUUCCGUAGGUGAACCUGCGGAAGGAUCAUUCAUAAUAAAGUGUUUUAUGGCACUUUUUAAAAAUCCAUAUCCACCUUGUGUGCAAUGUUAGAUCUCGUCAAUCUUGGCGAGAUUUUUAUACAUCAACUCAUUCCUUAACUAAUUUGUCUGAAAAAUACUAUGAAUACUUAAUUCAAAAUACAACUUUCAACAACGGAUCUCUUGGCUCUCGCAUCGAUAAAGAACGCAGC